AGAGUUUGAUCCUGCCUCAGAUUGAACGCUGGCGGCAUGCUUUACACAUGCAAGUCGAACGGCAGCACGGGGGCAACCCUGGUGGCGAGUGGCGAACGGGUGAGUAAUACAUCGGAACGUAUCCUUGAGUGGGGGAUAACGCAGCGAAAGUUGUGCUAAUACCGCAUGAGCUCUGAGGAGGAAAGUGGGGGACUGUAAGGCCUCUCGCUGAAGGGGCGGCCGAUGUCCGAUUAGCUAGUUGGUGAGGUAAAGGCUCACCAAGGCUUCGAUCGGUAGCUGGUCUGAGAGGAUGAUCAGCCACACUGGGACUGAGACACGGCCCAGACUCCUACGGGAGGCAGCAGUGGGGAAUUUUGGACAAUGGGGGCAACCCUGAUCCAGCCAUGCCGCGUGAGUGAAGAAGGCCUUCGGGUUGUAAAGCUCUUUCGUGAGGGAAGAAACGGCCAUAGUGAAUAGCUGUGGUUACUGACGGUACCUCAAGAAGAAGCACCGGCUAAUUACGUGCCAGCCGCCGCGGU
RNAcentral lists this ribosomal RNA (518 nucleotides) under uncultured bacterium. RNAcentral's name for it is "bacterial SSU rRNA". It matches the Rfam family "Bacterial small subunit ribosomal RNA", at positions 8 to 521 of the family's 1533-position model. The record is from RNAcentral.